Molecule: long non-coding RNA, 8652 nt
Filed under: Medicago truncatula (barrel medic)
Lineage: Eukaryota; Viridiplantae; Streptophyta; Magnoliopsida; Fabales; Fabaceae
Description: long non-coding RNA (MTRU_LNC006378)
Source: RNAcentral
AUAAUUCUCUCAUCUCUCUUUCACUGAAAAGUCUAACAAGGUUUAUGUGGGUCAAAAUCGUCGACAAGAUAGUUUUUCUUGUUGGGAAGUUAAGUGGAAAUGAAGUAUUUUUUGGAAGAAAAAGACCAAACUUUUCUACGCUCCCUACAUAGUUUUGAGAAAUUGUUAUCAUUACAAAUAACCUAAACUCGUUGCUGAUAUUCACAAAUAAGAAAGCUUGAAAGAUGUCUUACUUAAUAUCCAUGCUAGUUUUGUUGCUAGCAAUUAUCACUCUUACAACCGUAGCAGGAAAUAUUAAUCCCAAAUAUGAGUCUGCACGAUCCAAUGGAUUCAUCAGUUACCAGCCCCCAACAACUGAUACACAAAAACUGGUUGGUCUCGAUUACAGGCGACGUAGACAUGCACCACCGCCGCCACCUCAAUAUCGUCCCAGAAUUAACUACCCAGGAACACCACACCAACAGCCUCAUCGACACCAGUUACGCCCACCUCCUAAAAUGUAAGAAUUAAGAACUCACCAUUUGAGGAGGCUAAGUUGGUCCAAUAAACUACUCUCUCCUGUUAUGUUUAAAAAAAAAAAAAAAAGUUUUUUUUAGAUUCAUUGAAUACUUGAUACAUAUUAUAAACCAAAUAUAUUAAGUAUUCAAUAAAUCUAACAAUCAGUUUUUUUUAGUUUAUAAAUGUAACUGAAGGACAAUUAACAUCAUCGUUGAUAGUAUAUUUUAUGUCUUUCACUAAAAAAAGUAUAUUUUAUGUCUUAGUUGUUAUUUUGAUUUAUAUAUUUUCUGUACUUUUUAGUGUGCUUAAGAUUUUACCAUAUGGAUAAUAAUGAUUUAUCCAGAAUAUUAUAUAAUAAGUGUAUUAAUUGUUCAUUAAGGAAAAGAACAAAAAUAAAUGUGGAAACGUCUUUAAUUGUAUUUGAUAGUUUUUUUUUAUUGUUUAUUUUAUCUUUAAUUUUCUUAGUUCCAUAUUUUUAAUUUAUUUGGAGCCUGUCAACGAUAUUCCGGGUUGGAAUCCAGUUAAUAAUAUGUCUAACAUAAUAAUAUUGUUAUUUGUCGGUUGAGUUAUGUCUUACGAACAACGACGCAAUUUAUUAGUAUAUCAUAUUUAAUAUCUUUUGUCAAAAAAAAAAAUCAUACCUUUUUUUUUUUUUUUUUAUUUAAGGAGAAAUCAUACUUAAUAUCUACUGUGUGAAUAGAAUUACUCAAAUUUAGCCAAACUGCAAUAUAUAUGCUCCCAUUCACUUUAUACAUUUUCCGGUACUGAUUUGUUGUUGGAAAUUGUUAAAGACUUACCAGAUUUAAAAUAUAUUUGAGUAAACUAAAUCAGAAAAUAUCAUAUCAUCUUUUGUUUGAUUUCCUUACAACUUUUUUUGGUCAAGUAGGCAAACAGCCAGAGAAAUUCACUUUAAAUGUGAAUAAGUAGGAUGUUGGGGGUUCAAACUCCAGCCUCUACAUAUAUAUGCAUUAUCCAAUACUAAAUAAGUUAAUCUUACAGGAACCCCCAUACAUACAAUUUACAUGGUAUAUUUAUUAUUUUUUCAACAAACAUACCUCUUAUUAAUAUUACUAAUUUAUCCUUGAAAAUGAAAAGUUAAAAUUAAACACUAAUUUAUUUCAAUGUUUUCCAACUUCAAAGUUAUUGUUAAAUCGGCGCACAUUACUACUUUGUUUAAUAUGACAUCUUCAUAUAAGUGAUUUAAAAAAAAAAUAGUGGUAUUUGAACAACCAUUUCAUACAACUUUUGGUGACAAUUUCUUUUCUCUCUUUUCAUUGGUUAAAAAUAAUGGAGAGAGAAAAAUGAAGAGAGAAAAUAAGAGGAUAAUGCGAGUAUGAGAGAUAAAGUUAUAAAAAAAUCGUCAUAAAAUGGAUGUACAAAUAUUAUUUCUCUUAAAAAAAAAAAAAGGGGUUGACAUCGUUCUAUAUAACUAUAAAUUACUAAUAAGAUAUAGUUAAAGUGGCCCCAUACGAACACAUCAUUUGUUCAAUCAAUUUUUAAAGGUAAUGUUUAAUAAGUAUUUAUUUAUUCCAAUCUAACAACUCUUCAAAAAUUAUUAAGUGGGUCCUACAAAUAACUUUACAUUAGUACUUUUUAAAAACAAUUAAUAUGUUUGUGCAAUUUGCUCAUUAUUUAGCAAAGACGAUUCCGUGUCAUGUUAGUUUCCGUGUUCAUAUUAGAACUCUAUCAUAUAUCUCUAUUAUUAUUAUAAAUGAAAUGCACUAAAUUUUCCUUUGUAAAAACAGUUUGUGCAACAUUAUUAUUUUUUAAAUAUGAAGAAAACAUUGAAUAGAGAGUAUGCAAUACAAGAGAGAGACAAUACUUUUACUACAAGCUUUGCAUCUAAAUAACAGUGCUUCUUAUUUCUUCUCCAUUGAUAACAAAAAAGGACUUGUUUCUACCUACUAAGUAACAAAAUAGUCUUUGUCAAAAAAAAAAAAAAGUAACAAAAUAGUCAAUAGUAAGCAUUUUCUUCAAAUCUUCACUUGAAUUACCAUUGACCAAACAAUGCUACGAUAUACUCAACUAUUGAGUUUCCUUUGAUCUUUGAUAAAAUGUCAAUUAUAAGAUGGACAAUUUAAAUGAGAAAACCCCUAAAUUUCAUUUUAAGGUGAAAUGAUCAAAGUCCUUUACUUUAUGUUACCAACUUACUCAAAUUAAAACCAUGAGAUCAUCUCACUCUAACGUACCAAAAUUCAAUCAAGUCUAAGUUACUCCAUUUAUUCUCUAAUUACAAAAGUUUAUAUGAAUUUUCAGAGAGAUGAAUGCGAUGAGGGUUUGAACAAGAUAAAGAGAAAAUGUCAUAAUUUAAAAAAAUAGAUUGUUAAAACUUAUAUAAUUUUUGAGAAUAUAAGAGAAGUGAACAUGUAUAAAUUUUGUGAAAAUAUACGAUUGAAUCAAUUCAUUCAAAUCUAGAACAUAAGUGUGAAUCGAUUCAUAAGUUAGAGACUUUUAAAGCACUAUUUUAAAGAAAAAUAGGGAGUGAAUCGAUUCAUUCAACCUCGGAAAAGGAUUUGUGAAUCGAUUCAUAAGUCAAAGAGUUAAACCUCUUAAAAAAAAUAAUUCAUUCAAAUCAUAAACGAGGUAUGAACCGAUUCACUUAACUUAAAGUGUAAUAAAUCAUGUUUUUUUAUUAUGUGAAUUGAUUUUCACAUACCCCAAAAUUAAUUUUUUUUUUAUGCUAACAUAACUUCCAAAAACAUUAUUCAUUGAAAUUUCAAAGGGACGGUGAUGUGAUACUUAGAAGUUACUUAGUUACAUCAAUUAUAAACUUAUUUUUUGUCCUCUAAUUGAAAUGAAUUCUUAUACACUAAAAAUAAUAUGUACUUACAUGAUGCACUUAAUUAGUUAAAAAUUAUUUAAUUGAUGCACUUCGUUAAUAUAAAAAAUAUUACAGUGUUGGUAAUCAAUGGAUUCACAUUGACACCACAAUUAUUUUCACUUUUCAAAAUAUUAUAAUACUCCCUCCGUCCCUAAUUAUAAGACCCUUUUGAGAAUUUUUUUUGUCCCUUUUUAUAAGAUNUUGGAAUAAUAAUGUCCCGUCGAAAUUAAGAAUGAUCUUAAAUGUAUAUAAACAUUCUUUCAAAAAAUUUCUAAUUGAGGAGAAAUUAAAAAGUGGAAAUAGUGGUAUCAGCAUAUUUGAGUGGUCGUAGUGCCAUAUUGAUAUUUUGGAGAAUUAAAGUUAAAAUGGUGGUAACACCAUAUUUGAGUGGUCUCAGCACCAUAAGAGAGUGGUAACAAUACCAUAUUAAAGUGGUUUCAACAUUAAAGAGUGGUCUUACUAUCAUAUUGAAGGUGUAAUUCUCGAACGGUUUUCUACACUGCAAUAGUUAAUCGAACAGUUCUAACCGGGCUUGUUUUAUAUCCUGCAGACGGCGUGGUUAAUAGUCUGUCUUGAACAAUUUUGAGCAGUGUCAUGAAAUGUUUUAUAGAGAGCGACCUGAUCGUGACUCAACCUAGUAACCAGUGGCGGAGCCCUAUCAACGAUUAUAGGUCUAUUUUGCGAGAUUUUAUGCAAUUUUGUGUCAGUUUUAUGUUUUGGUUGAUCCAAAUUCUUGCAAAGUGGUGUAGUGGCCCACCCGAAAAUUUAAAUGAUUCAAUUAUAGGUCUAUUUUGUGAGAUUUUAUACAAUUUUAUGUCGGUUUUAGGUUUCGGUUGAUCCAAAUUCCCGCAAAUUGGUGUAGUGGCCCACCCGAAAAAUUUAAAUAAUUCAAUUAUGAGUCUAAUUUGCGAGACUUUAAACAAUUUUUCAAUAGUUAAUUUUAGUGGCCCACCCUGACAUUUUUUUCUGGCUGGCUCCGCCACUAGUAACAACUUCGAUAGAUAAUAUAAUUUAGAAAUUCAAAUAAAACAGUUUGAAAAUCCAAUUGUCAUGCAAAUUUACUAUUUAGCAAUGUACUGGUUUAUGUCAAACCACUGUCAAUUGAAUUACUCCAAUUUAGCCAAACUCCAAUAUAUAUUUAGCAAUGUACUGAUUUGUUGUUAAUUAGAAAUUUUUAAUGACUUAAUAGAUUUAAAAUCUUUGUGAGCAACAAAUUACAAGCAUUGUUUUAAAUAUAUAAAUCUUUCAAAUGAUGCAUCUAUGCCACUAUUUCUUUAAAUUAGAGUUUGUACUUUGUACACCUGCUGUUGUUUUGUGAAUUUCUAUUUGUUCUCAUGCCUUCCAUAUUGAAAUGAAGAUAUAGAAGAAAAAAUAUGCUGAAACUAGCUAAUUUUCGCAGACUAAACACUAUUAAAUUAGUCUCCAACUUUUUGUGAUGUUCUCAAAAAGUGCCUUCCAUACUAAUAUGAAGAUAUGGAAAGAAUAAUUCAAAAAGAUUAGUCAAUUUCUUUUUGUGUUAACUCUUCGAUUUUUAGGAAAAGAGAUUAUAGUAAUCUCGAGUACAUCUGUAAGGUAAGUAAAAUUUGAGCUAUAAUUGUUUCACUCAUUAAAUAAACUCAUAUGUCAUAAACAAUAUGUUCUUUAAUGAAAUUUAUUAACCACUCAAGUGUGAUUGCUUGUUUAAGAUUAGUCAAUUUACUCUUAUUAGUUCUUCAAAGAGUAUGUUAGGGACUAAUUUGAAUUUUUUUUUUAUCGCAAGGGACUAAUUCGAUUGAAAGUGGAUAAAUUUAGAGAUCAAACUAGUAAAUGAUUAAAUACAAACCCACUUGGGUUGACCUAGUGGUAUUGGUUUGGGACCUUAGAGUGUGCUCCUUCUCAAGGCUCAUGUUCGAUUCUCUUUGGUGCUAAUUUAGGUGGGUUAAUUUAAUUUCUUAAAUAAAAAGUGAUUAAAUACAAAAAGAACUUGAUAGUUUAAUAGAGUUAGAAAUAAUUUUGGUAUACUCAUAAUUUCAUAAACCAAUCCGAGAAUGUAAUACAAAAUCAUAGACUAAUUUUAUGAUACCUCUAUUUCUUUUUGGUAAAUAGAGAUAACUUUCAUUAACCAACGCAAUUAUUAUAAACCAGAUGGAAUUAGGAAACAACUAAACAAAGAAACAAGAGUUAAGCAUCCAUUAAUGAGUUUGCACCCGAAUCAUCAGAGUUUGCACCUUCUUGAAUUGCAAUCCUAUAAUGUAAGCAUCCAUUUUGAUUUGGUUAAGGAGUUGUUGAACAGAUCGGUAACAAUUCUGAAAUCUUCUAUCAUUCCUCUCCUUCCAGAUCAUAUAGAGGGUCACACUCAACACCAUUCUAUGAGUUUGAUGCAUGCCAUUGUUACUGUUACAAUGAGACUGGACAUAUUGCAAAAUAGAUUGCCAAUUGCUAGUAUUGACACUCAUAUUCAUCCAUCUCAUAGCACCUUUCUAAACAACAACAUCAUAUUCACAAGAAGAAAAAAAAAAGUGAGAUUGAGUUUCAUUCUCCUUUGUACACAAAAUGCAAACCUGGUCACAUUGGAUACCUACUUUAAGCAUCCUCUCACAUCCCAGAAGUUUUUACAAAACAACAUCCUAAUUCCAAACACAUAAAAAAAAAAGGAUUAAUAGAGCUUUACCCCCUUGUAAUAUAUGACACUUUUGGUUUUCCCCCUGUAAUUUUUUUUUUAGAUUCCGUCCUUUUAAAAUAAAGAUUCUUCAAGAUUGCCCCCUGAACCCUGUGACUCAGCAGAAUCUAUGAUGUGACAUUUUUUUUUUCAAUUUUUUUGGAUGCCACGUGUAAAAAAGAUUUUACAUGUCAUUUAUAAUUAAAAAAGUAAAAAAAAUAUAUUUUUUUUAAAAAACGAAAAAAUCUUUUUUUAAAAAGCUAAAAUUAUUUUAAAAAUCAGAAAAAUACUAAUUUUUUUUAAAAAAUUUGAAAAAUCGAAAAAAAAUCAAUUUUUUUUUCCAAAAUUUAAAAAAUUGAAAAUGAAAUUCCAGAUUUUUUUUUUUUUAUUUUAGCUCAAAAAACUGACAUGGAAAAUGUAUUUUACACGUGACAUUAAAAAAAAAUUGAAAAAUAAAAAAAAAUGUCACGUCAGUGACAUAUCAAAGAUUCUGCUGAGUCACAGUGCAUAGUGGGCAAUCUUGAAGAAUCUUUAUUUUAUAAGGACGAAAUCUAAAAAAAAAAAUUUGCAGGGGGAAAACCAAAAGUGCCCUAUAUUACAGGGUGGUAAAGUCCUAUUAACCCUAAAAAAAAUAUUCGGUUUUUUGCGGUUUUCAAUUUUUUUUGAUUAGUUUACAGUUUUUUUAUCGGUUUGAAUUUGAACACCCCUAAAACCAUCUCCAAUGGGAGAUCUUCAACAUUUAAGACCCGAUAUCUAUUAGGUACUCCCAUUUGGGAGAAAAUUUUUCAAGGUCUUAAAAGACCUGGGGGUCUCACUUAAGACCCUCAAUCUUAAGCGGGACCCACUCUCUUUUAAUAUUAAAAAAUUGAAAUAUAAUGAUAUAAAGUUAUUGAUAGUUGCUUAUCGUGGCUCAUUUAAGUAAUUUGUAUGAGAUGCUGGGUUGGAAGGAUUGAGUACUUAUUAGAUACUUCCUCCGUUUCAAAAUACUUGUCCAUUUUGAAGAAAUUACACAUACCAAUGAAUCAAAUAAAUGUUGUCAUUUUUUAUGAAAUUCUUUGUGUCUUUUUCUAUAAUACCCUGCUCAUUUAUUAUUUCAUUCAAUUAUUUCUCUCUCAACAAUAAAUAGGUAAGGGUAAUAUUGAUAAACCAAUAAUUAAUGUUGCAUUGAAACUUCAAAGUGACAAGUAAAAUGAAACAAAAUAAUUCUCCAAAAUGGACAAGUAUUGUGAAAUGGAGGGAGUACUACUCUUAAAUAAUUAUAAAUAAGUGAUGUAUCCGUAAGACUCAUUUAAAUAUUUAAAAAUGAAUAUCUCCAUUAUAGAUGCUGUAAUAAAGAAUAUAACUUUUUAUUAAAAAAUUUUGUAAUUAUUACAUCAACAAAAAUAACAAUUUUUUUUUUGAAGAAACAAAAAUAACAACUUGUUUUAUAAAAAAAGUAAAAACUUAUUUCAAAGACAUACUGUCAUUUAAUACAAUUCUUUUUUCUUUUUUGACCAAACAUUUAAUACAAUUCUUAAAAAACUUGUGAAGCUGGUUUCUUAAGAAACAAAAUGACUAUACGGCCCAUGUUAAAGCAACCUCUCUCGCCAACUUCUUCACAAUCAAACAAGAGAAAUUUGGCAUCUUGAUCUCACCAAUAAUUCUCUCAUCUCUCUUUCACUGAAAAGUCUAACAAGGUUUAUGUGGGUCAAAAUCGUCGACAAGAUAGUUUUUCUUGUUGGGAAGUUAAGUGGAAAUGAAGUAUUUUUUGGAAGAAAAAGACCAAACUUUUCUACGCUCCCUACAUAGUUUUGAGAAAUUGUUAUCAUUACAAAUAACCUAAACUCGUUGCUGAUAUUCACAAAUAAGAAAGCUUGAAAGAUGUCUUACUUAAUAUCCAUGCUAGUUUUGUUGCUAGCAAUUAUCACUCUUACAACCGUAGCAGGAAAUAUUAAUCCCAAAUAUGAGUCUGCACGAUCCAAUGGAUUCAUCAGUUACCAGCCCCCAACAACUGAUACACAAAAACUGGUUGGUCUCGAUUACAGGCGACGUAGACAUGCACCACCGCCGCCACCUCAAUAUCGUCCCAGAAUUAACUACCCAGGAACACCACACCAACAGCCUCAUCGACACCAGUUACGCCCACCUCCUAAAAUGUAAGAAUUAAGAACUCACCAUUUGAGGAGGCUAAGUUGGUCCAAUAAACUACUCUCUCCUGUUAUGUUUAAAAAAAAAAAAAAAAGUUUUUUUUAGAUUCAUUGAAUACUUGAUACAUAUUAUAAACCAAAUAUAUUAAGUAUUCAAUAAAUCUAACAAUCAGUUUUUUUUAGUUUAUAAAUGUAACUGAAGGACAAUUAACAUCAUCGUUGAUAGUAUAUUUUAUGUCUUUCACUAAAAAAAGUAUAUUUUAUGUCUUAGUUGUUAUUUUGAUUUAUAUAUUUUCUGUACUUUUUAGUGUGCUUAAGAUUUUACCAUAUGGAUAAUAAUGAUUUAUCCAGAAUAUUAUAUAAUAAGUGUAUUAAUUGUUCAUUAAGGAAAAGAACAAAAAUAAAUGUGGAAACGUCUUUAAUUGUAUUUGAUAGUUUUUUUUUAUUGUUUAUUUUAUCUUUAAUUUUCUUAGUUCCAUAUUUUUAAUUUAUUUGGAGCCUGUCAACGAUAUUCCGGGUUGGAAUCCAGUUAAUAAUAUGUCUAACAUAAUAAUAUUGUUAUUUGUCGG